RNAcentral lists this non-coding RNA (23 nucleotides) under Cricetulus griseus (Chinese hamster). Lineage: Eukaryota; Metazoa; Chordata; Mammalia; Rodentia; Cricetidae. The record is from RNAcentral.
UCUCAAAGAAAGGGCUGUAACCA